This is a long non-coding RNA of Cyprinus carpio carpio, 1066 nucleotides long. The record is from Ensembl. Lineage: Eukaryota; Metazoa; Chordata; Actinopteri; Cypriniformes; Cyprinidae.
CCAGCGCCACAGCACAAGAUGGCCGCCAGCCCAGCGCCACAGCACAAGAUGGCCGCCAGCCCAGCGCCACAGCACAAGAUGGUUGACUCAACGCCUGAGUCUUCCGUCAAGGAGCCACCGGCACGCCAUCAUAGAGGCCGCAGGAGGAGGAGACAGGCGUCAGCCGUUCCUCAAAGCCCGGAGGACGUUCCCGAGCAGGCCGCUGCCGUCCAGGAGGACGUUCCCGAGCAGGCCGCUGCCGUCCAGGAGGACGUUCCCGAGCAGGCCGCUGCCGUCCAGGAGGACGUUCCCGAGCAGGCCGCUGCCGUCCAGGAGGACGUGCCCAAGGUUCCCGAGGCGGUGCCUGAUGUCGAGGCGGUGACCGAUGCUGUUCCGGAGGUCGAGGCGGUGCCCGAUGCCGAGGCGGUGCCCGAGGCUGUUCCGGAGGUCGAGGCUGUGCCCGAUGCCGAGGCAGUGACCGAUGCUGUUCCGGAGGCCGAGGCGGUGCCCGAGGCUGUUCCGGAGGCCGAUGCGGUGCCCGAGAUGGUUCCGGAGGCCGAGGCGGUGUCCUUGUCCCAUGCCGUUCCGGAGGCCGCUCCCAGGGCGGUGCCCGAGGUCGUUCCCGAGGCGGUGCCCGAACCCGAGGUCGUUCCCGAGGUGAUACCCGUGUCCAAGGCCGUUCCCGAGGCGGUGCCCUUGUCCAAGGCCGUUCCCGAGGCGGUGUCCAAUGCCGUGACCUGGCCAUCGCCACAGUCUGCUCCUCACUGGCUCUCCGAAUGGCAGGUUCCGUUCGGGCCACUCAAAUGGCGAAUUCCUCCCUGGCCAUCUGCACAACGAGAAUGGACUGAUCCACCGUGGCCACCUGAACUGCCUGGCCCCUCGUGGUCCCCUGAACUUUCGGGUCCACCGUGGCCACCUGAACUGCCUGGUCCCUCGUGGUCCCCUGAACUUUCGGGUUCACCGUGGCCACCUGAACUGACCGAGCCACCUGGGCUACCAGGGGAGCCAUCGCUGCCGGUCCCAGUUCCCCUACAUGGGCCUGGCCCGCCAUCCCUCCCCCUGUUCUGCCUCCACCAGUCCACCUCCC